AUCACUUCCUGUUCGUAUCUGUUAUAAGCCAUGUUGUUUGUUCACCAUGUUGCAAAGUAUUGCCAGUUUAUCAUGUCCUUACAGAGCGCUUCUGUUUCUUUGUUUGUUUGCCACAUGUAUGUUUCUCUGUUUGUUCUUGACUAUGGUUUUUGGAUUACGGAUAUUUGUUGUCGUCUCCCAUUCACCUCUAUAGACGUUUACCCAACUAUUUACCCAACUAUGACAACUUCUGCUUCUGGAAAACCACGGAAAUGUGAAAAAGGCUUCCUGAGGACAAAAGACAUGACUCAAGAAGGAGAACAGAAGCCCAUAGAUGUCAAGAUGUGAAUGAGGUGCCAGCAUAGCUGAGAAAGAGUCUCUGUUAAUGUCAAUGUGCAAGUGAGAGAAAAAGGGUCUUUAAAACGAUCAACUUCCAGUCCAUGAGAACACAGCUGACAGAAAAAGUGACGACUCUAUCCUGCCCUCGGCACAGCAUGAUAUUGAGAGUGAUGGUGCAGGGUAUAUCCGAUAAACCGAGCACAACUCUAUUUCACGCACAAAAAUGUACGGCAGUAUUGCUCCCUAUAGACCUCUUGAAUUUGCAUUCUCACUUCUGCCUCACAGGGCAUUUGAAUUUAACCAUUUCCCAUAUUUUGCAUUUGUGCAUUGUGAUUCUACAUUCUACUACCUGUUUUUUGGGGGUCAUCAGUCUUAUUGGGGGUCACCAUAUUAGCAAUAAAAAAGUAGAAAGAUCUGAAAGAUUUAAAAAUUGUUUUUACCCUGCUCAGUCACAAGACACAAGUAUCAUCAUAUGUAAUACUGGACAUAUUUUACAAAUCACUAAUGUGAAGGACUUCAAGCUCAGUUUCAGAACUGACUGAGGACUCACUGGUUCU
Molecule: long non-coding RNA, 875 nt
Organism: Ctenopharyngodon idella (grass carp)
Lineage: Eukaryota; Metazoa; Chordata; Actinopteri; Cypriniformes; Xenocyprididae
Exons: 3
Source: RefSeq, a predicted model, not a curated record